Heterocephalus glaber (naked mole-rat) is the source of this 1350-nucleotide long non-coding RNA. NCBI's taxonomy places the organism in Eukaryota, Metazoa, Chordata, Mammalia, Rodentia, Bathyergidae. The record is from Ensembl.
GGACAUCUGGCCUAAAUUAAAAGCCCUGUACGAGACUGGGUCUUCAUCUGGAGACAUCGACAAAAAGACCUUGAGCCUCAUUAGAAAGGACCCUAUGUCACAGUCCUGACCACGCCCACCGCUCUCAAGGUCGACGAGAUUGCCUCGUGGGUGCACUACACCCACGUCCGCCCGCGGAUCCACACGCCAUCCUAGAUGACUUCAUCCCAUCAUGACAGGUGUCCAAAGAACACGACAACCCUCUCAAACUCAAGCUGUGUCAUCGACGGUCAUGAUUGUGGUAACUGUACUUUUAACACCAAUAUUAGGAGGACUCUGCAUCGCCUUAGCCUGAAGUCAUCACUUGAGGAAGCCCCAAGUUAGCAUCUUAGCUCUGCCACACAUUCCAUCUGUCCCAGCUGCUCCCCGAAGUUCUGGCUAUGCAGGAGCAGCCAGCCCCCAUUCAACACUGAACAGCAGAGGUAACCCCAGGGUCUCUAAGUGACUAAAUUGCCCAGACUGCACUUGAACUUGUGAUCCUUCAGCCCCAGCUUCCCAGAGUACUGAGUUAUCAUCAUUAUUACAGAAAAGGAAAGCAGAGUCGGACAGGUAAGUUACCUGCCCAAGGUAACACAGUUGUUAAAGUGGGAGAACUGAGACUUAUGCCUAAAUCUGGUGAAACCAGUGCCCUCCAGCCUCCCCAAGAUGCUGAUCUCCUACACAACCAUUUGCUCUCCCUCUGCUUCAACCCUGAAUCUUUGUUUGCUGGGACCUCACAUGCUUCCCUUCUUCCUGGAUGAAUUCCAGGAAGCUUUAUGUAACCACAAGCUUCACCCUCCCCAUCACCCCAAAAGGGAGGAAGUAAAGGCUAAAGCAAUUGACCUAACCAAUCAGGAGCAGAGGGGUGACCCCCCACCCCCAACCCCAGGGGCGACCACACCAACAGCAAAGUAGAGUCUGGCGCUCUGCCAACUGCUUUCUCUCCCACUCCCCUUCCUAGCCUGGUUUCAGCCUCUCUACUCUCACUUCUCUUUUUUUUCAGAUAACUUUACUUUCCAGGAUCCUACCUCACUAGUCUUGUCGAUUCAAGAACAUUUCUAAGUACCUACUGUUAGCUACAGACUGAGGAUUCACUCUCCUGCCAGAGAGAACACGUUCAAUGCAAUAUUAAUAAUAAUAAUUGCUGACACUUACUAAGCCUUUCUUAUGCACCAAUCCCUAUUCUUUCAUUCUGAGAAUGAGCAAGAGCUUUUAUGUCAGUUACAAAGAGACGAAACCAACUGGGUGUGAUGGCUCAUGCCUGUAACCCUAGUACUCUGCGAGGCUGAUGUAGGAAGAUCACAAGUUCCAACCCAGACAAUUUAGCAAAAC